RNAcentral lists this ribosomal RNA (253 nucleotides) under uncultured bacterium. Its description in RNAcentral is "partial 16S ribosomal RNA". It matches the Rfam family "Bacterial small subunit ribosomal RNA", at positions 524 to 776 of the family's 1533-position model. The record is from RNAcentral.
UACAGAGGGUGCGAGCGUUAAUCGGAAUUACUGGGCGUAAAGCGCGCGUAGGCGGCUUUGCAAGUCGGGUGUGAAAUCCCCAGGCUUAACCUGGGAACUGCAUUCGAGACUGCAUUGCUAGAGUAUGGGAGAGGGAAGUGGAAUUUCCGGUGUAGCGGUGAAAUGCGUAGAUAUCAGGAGGAACACCUGCGGUGUAGACGGCUUACUGGACCAUAACUGACGCUGAGGCACGAAAGCGUGGGUAGCAAACAGG